Molecule: long non-coding RNA, 533 nt
Organism: Homo sapiens (human)
Lineage: Eukaryota; Metazoa; Chordata; Mammalia; Primates; Hominidae
Gene: TPRXL
Product: tetrapeptide repeat homeobox like (pseudogene)
Source: Ensembl
AGAGCCCUGUCCACAGCAAACUAAAAUGAUGGCUAUGUGGACAUGAGCAGCUUCAACACCUUUAAGAACAAUCAGCAGAGCACAGACCAGGACGCAGAAAGAUUAUUUAUGAAAACUGCAAUAGUCAUCAUUUAAAGUUAUGGAACUGUGUCCGGAAUUGGUGGGUUCUUGGUCUCACUGACUUCAAGAAUGAAGCCGCGGACCCUUGCGACAGAGUCUUGCCCUGUUGCCCAGGCUGGAGUAUAGUAGUGCAGUGGUGUGAUCAUAGCUCACUGUAACUUCGACCACCUGGGCUCAAACAAUCCUUCUUCCUCUGCCUCCCAAGUAGCUGGGACUACAGAACAGAGCAGGACCCAGGAUGCAAGACCCUAGGCAUCCCCAAGGCCUUCCACUGUCCCCAGGCCUUCCAAAGAGACAGCGGCAGGACCGCACAAUCUACAACUGGAAACAGCAGGAAGUGCUAGAAAAUCACUUUAAGGAGGAACAGUACCCAGACUAUGACACACGACAAGAGCUGGCGGAGAUGCUCAAUC